RNAcentral lists this ribosomal RNA (451 nucleotides) under uncultured bacterium. RNAcentral's name for it is "partial 16S ribosomal RNA". It matches the Rfam family "Bacterial small subunit ribosomal RNA", at positions 354 to 796 of the family's 1533-position model. The record is from RNAcentral.
GUGGGGAAUAUUGGACAAUGGGCGCAAGCCUGAUCCAGCCAUGCCGCGUGUGUGAAGAAGGCCUUUUGGUUGUAAAGCACUUUAAGCGAGGAGGAGGCUCCUUUAGUUAAUACCUAAAGAGAGUGGACGUUACUCGCAGAAUAAGCACCGGCUAACUCUGUGCCAGCAGCCGCGGUAAUACAGAGGGUGCGAGCGUUAAUCGGAUUUACUGGGCGUAAAGCGUGCGUAGGCGGCUUUUUAAGUCGGAUGUGAAAUCCCUGAGCUUAACUUAGGAAUUGCAUUCGAUACUGGAAAGCUAGAGUAUGGGAGAGGAUGGUAGAAUUCCAGGUGUAGCGGUGAAAUGCGUAGAGAUCUGGAGGAAUACCGAUGGCGAAGGCAGCCAUCUGGCCUAAUACUGACGCUGAGGUACGAAAGCAUGGGGAGCAAACAGGAUUAGAUACCCGUGUAGUCC